UACGGAGACUGCGAGCGUUACUCGGAUUUACUGGGCGUAAAGGGUGCGUAGGCGGCAAUGUGUGUCAGGUGUGAAAUCUUGGGGCUUAACCCCAAAAUUGCGCUUGAAACUGCAUUGCUAGAGUGUCGGAGGGGCAAGCGGAAUUUCGAGUGUAGCAGUGAAAUGCGUAGAUAUUCGAAGGAACGCCAAUAGCGAAGGCAGCUUGCUGGACGAUGACUGACGCUGAGGCACGAAAGCGUGGGGAGCGAAAAGGAUUAGAUACCCUUGUAGUCCACGCCGUAAACGUUGUACACUAGAUUUCGGGACAUUCGACCGUUUCGGAGUGCAAGCUAACGCGAUAAGUGUACCGCCUGAGGACUACGGCCGCAAGGCUAAA
This 376-nucleotide ribosomal RNA is filed under the name uncultured bacterium. RNAcentral describes it as "bacterial SSU rRNA". It matches the Rfam family "Bacterial small subunit ribosomal RNA", at positions 524 to 898 of the family's 1533-position model. The record is from RNAcentral.